Molecule: ribosomal RNA, 324 nt
Filed under: uncultured eukaryote
Lineage: Eukaryota
Description: partial 18S ribosomal RNA
Rfam family: Eukaryotic small subunit ribosomal RNA
Source: RNAcentral
CCCUUAGAUGUUCUGGGCCGCACGCGCGCUACACUGACGGAGUCAACGAGUUGUCCUGCAUCGGAAGGUGUGGGUAAUCUUUUGAAACUUCGUCGUGCUGGGGAUAGAUCUUUGCAAUUUUCGAUCUUGAACGAGGAAUUCCUAGUAAGCGUGAUUCAUCAGAUCGCGUUGAUUACGUCCCUGCCCUUUGUACACACCGCCCGUCGCUACUACCGAUUGAAUGGUUUAGUGAGGCCUCGGGACUGGCGCGCUCGAGUAGCAAUACACCUGCGCGUCGGGAACUUGGUCAAACUUGAUCAUUUAGAGGAAGUAAAAGUCGUAACA